This 231-nucleotide unclassified non-coding RNA is filed under the name plant metagenome. Its description in RNAcentral is "partial contains small subunit ribosomal RNA, internal transcribed spacer 1, and 5.8S ribosomal RNA". The record is from RNAcentral.
GUAGGUGAACCUGCGGAAGGAUCAUUACCGUGGGGCUUCGGCUCCAUUGAGGUAGCACCCUUUGUUUAUGAGUACCCUUGUUUCCUCGGCGGGCUUGCCCGCCAUGAGGACCUUCAAAAACCCUUUGUAGUAGCAGUAACUUCAGUUAAAAAUAAAUAUUAAAACUUUCAACAACGGAUCUCUUGGUUCUGGCAUCGAUGAAGAACGCAGAUUCUGACUGACUUCAGGUUG